Molecule: long non-coding RNA, 1483 nt
Filed under: Volvox carteri
Lineage: Eukaryota; Viridiplantae; Chlorophyta; Chlorophyceae; Chlamydomonadales; Volvocaceae
Description: long non-coding RNA (VCAR_LNC002948)
Source: RNAcentral
CCGUACUGAUGAAAUUGUGCAACCAAAAGGGUAGACACUCUCUUAUCCCCAAGGCUUACAACUGUUUGUACAGGUGCGCAAAGCUUUCCACGUCUUGGGGCUGUCAAGACUACCAGGGCAUUGGCGCGGAAGUGGCAGUGUCCCUCCCCAUGGCACGCGAAAGUGCCACGCCUUUCUCCUUGGAUUUACCAUCCAACUCCCUAACAUUUACACUACUCCAAUACUCAAUCCCUACGAAGCUGCCUUACGAUAGGGCGUUCAGGGCUGUUGCCUUGAACCUUAGGUGCUGUUAAACCAAUGAUACUAAUGUACAAGUUACGCCUUUCGUUACUCAGGCGUGCUGUCGCAACGAUAUGGCGCAUGCAGGGAUGUUCGACCCUGCAACAUGACCUCUGUUGACCUACCUACCUAUAACCUACCCUCACCAGCAUCGCUGGAACUUCAGCGCUGUAAUGUGGAUGCCCGCGUAGGGCCGCACGUUACAUUUGUAUCGUGGCCCCGGUUCUGUCCCCCUGGAUAUGCGUUGAAUUCGGCAUGCGCACGCACGUACUUUGAUUCGCGCGUCGGAAUAACGUUCCGUCUGAUGCGAGAACUGUAACGCGCAUGCUAGAAUAAAGCCCGCGGAGGUCUAUUUUGUCGUUACAAGCGCCCUCUCCAAAGCGAACGGACACCGCGCUCGACGUCACAUGACCGCCGAUCUCACGGAAUGCAGCCAUGCCAGAGCCGACACCGACCUUCUCGCGCCUCCGCUUGAAUCCAUAGCACCUCAGUACAGGGCCACAUCCCAGAAUAAAUACUCAACCCAAAGUUCACAUUCGUGCCCAUACAUAGAAUCUAUGCCAUAAUAUGGGGUAUUCUUAAAAUUAGAUCUCCAGAAUACGUUUUCCACGCCGGCAUCGUACGAAGGAUUUCAGCGAAAAUCCAGGGCAGGCGCCAGGAAUUGGCUAGAAGAUGACUUGAAACUCCGAAGGAUAUCUUAGCACGAUAAUAAAAAAUGGAUGGAAAUUAUAUCAGUGCUAUGUGUUACGCUAUGUGCUCCAUGUACGGUACGUACGGUACUGUACAGCAAAGAGAGCAGGCAAGUAUAGUACCUGCUGCUUGUCCAAACGUUAUUAUCGCCCCCCUCGUCGCACGAUUUGAUGCACACGGCGGCGCACUCGCACGUGCCACGUACCACCCAACAAAAAUCACCUUCACCUCGGCGCCGGGACGGAGUCCCCGGGAGCAAGAACGACCCCAUCCGCCCCUGCCAACCAAGCAGCUGGAAAGCUGCAUGCACACAGUACAACACACGCCUACUCCGCCAUAUGCAAGUGAUGCAGCAGUAGCAGCAAUAGCAGUAGCAGCAGCCUAGUGCAUACUAUAUCUGGAACAGCUGGACCGUUAACAAGCGAGCACGCCUGUCCGUUUUUAAACGUGCGUACAGAAAGAGAGGCGACCCCCUCGCAAUUGACGGCGCCCGCACGUCGGGCGUCAAUUUAAU